RNAcentral lists this ribosomal RNA (465 nucleotides) under uncultured bacterium. Its description in RNAcentral is "partial 16S ribosomal RNA". It matches the Rfam family "Bacterial small subunit ribosomal RNA", at positions 338 to 795 of the family's 1533-position model. The record is from RNAcentral.
CCUACGGGAGGCAGCAGUGGGGAAUUUUGGACAAUGGGCGCAAGCCUGAUCCAGCUAUUCCGCGUGUGGGAAGACGGCCUUCGGGUUGUAAACCACUUUUGUAGAGAACGAAAAGUCUAUUGAUAAUACCGAUAGAUGAUGACGGUACUCUAAGAAUAAGCACCGGCUAACUACGUGCCAGCAGCCGCGGUAAUACGUAGGGUGCGAGCGUUAAUAGGAAUUACUGGGCGUAAGGGGUGUGCAGGCGGUUUUGCAAGUUGGAUGUGAAAGCCUCGGGCUGAACCUGGGAAAGCCAUACAUGACUGCAAGACUAGAGUGCGUCAGAGGGGGGUGGAAUUCCAAGUGUAGCAGUGAAAUGCGUAGAUAUUUGGAAGAACACCGAUGGCGAAGGCAGCCCCCUGGGACGCAACUGACGCUCAUACACGAAAGCGUGGGGAGCAAACAGGAUUAGAUACCCCAGUAGUC